This 461-nucleotide ribosomal RNA is filed under the name uncultured bacterium. RNAcentral's name for it is "bacterial SSU rRNA". It matches the Rfam family "Bacterial small subunit ribosomal RNA", at positions 8 to 496 of the family's 1533-position model. The record is from RNAcentral.
AGAGUUUGAUCCUGGCUCAGGAUGAACGCUGGCGGCGUGCCUAACACAUGCAAGUCGAGCGAUUUACUUCGGUAAAGAGCGGCGGACGGGUGAGUAACGCGUGGGUAACCUGCCCUGUACACACGGAUAACAUACCGAAAGGUAUGCUAAUACGAGAUAAUAUGCUUUUAUCGCAUGGUAGAAGUAUCAAAGUUUUUGCGGUACAGGAUGGGCCCGCGUCUGAUUAGCUAGUUGGUAAGGUAACGGCUUACCAAGGCGACGAUCAGUAGCCGACCUGAGAGGGUGAUCGGCCACAUUGGAACUGAGACACGGUCCAAACUCCUACGGGAGGCAGCAGUGGGGAAUAUUGCACAAUGGGCGAAAGCCUGAUGCAGCAACGCCGCGUGAGCGAUGAAGGCCUUCGGGUCGUAAAGCUCUGUCCUCAAGGAAGAUAAUGACGGUACUUGAGGAGGAAGCCCCGG